UAAGACGAACCGUGCGAACGUUGUUCGGAAUCACUGGGCUUAAAGGGCGCGUAGGCGGGCGGCCAAGUCAGGGGUGAAAUCUUUCGGCUCAACCGGAAAAGUGCCUCUGAUACUGGCGGUCUCGAGGGAGGUAGGGGUCUGCGGAACUUCCGGUGGAGCGGUGAAAUGCGUAGAUAUCGGAAGGAACGCCGGUGGCGAAAGCGGCGGACUGGACCUCUUCUGACGCUGAGGCGCGAAAGCCAGGGGAGCAAACGGGAUUAGAUACCCCGGUAGUCCUGGCCCUAAACGUUGGGUACUAGGUAGUGGUCUUACAUGGGAUCACUGCCGAAGCAAAAGUGAUAAGUACCCCGCCUGGGGAGUAUGGUCGCAAGGCUG
This 375-nucleotide ribosomal RNA is filed under the name uncultured bacterium. Its description in RNAcentral is "bacterial SSU rRNA". It matches the Rfam family "Bacterial small subunit ribosomal RNA", at positions 521 to 896 of the family's 1533-position model. The record is from RNAcentral.